CAGUCAGGGAGGGCCUACUGAACAAGGUCACCACAGUCAGGGAGGGCCUACUGAACAAGGUCACCACAGUCAGGGAGGGCCUACAGAACAAGGUCACCACAGUCAGGGAGGGCCUACAGAACAAGGUCACCACAGUCAAGGAGGGCCUACAGAACUAGGUCACCACAGUCAGGGAGGGCCUACAGAACAAGGUCACCACAGUCAGGGAGGGCCUCUAGAACAAGGUCACCACAGUCAGGGAGGGCCUACUGAACAAGGUCACCACAGUCAGGGAGGGCCUACAGAACUAGGUCACCACAGUCAGGGAGGGCCUCUAGAACAAGGUCACCACAGUCAGGGAGGGCCUCUAGAACAAGGUCACCACAGUCAGGGAGGGCCUACUGAACAAGGUCACCACAGUCAGGGAGGGCCUACAGAACAAGGUCACCACAGUCAGGGAGGGCCUACUGAACAAGGUCACCACAGUCAGGGAGG
Long non-coding RNA from Oncorhynchus keta (chum salmon), 474 nucleotides. RefSeq lists it as uncharacterized. The transcript has 4 exons. The record is from RefSeq and is a predicted model, not a curated record. Lineage: Eukaryota; Metazoa; Chordata; Actinopteri; Salmoniformes; Salmonidae.